AAGAAAUAUUCUAGCUCCUAGCAAUAUGUUUCAGACUGUGCCCAGGAAUUAUUAAAGGAGAUUCAGAAAAUGCAGUGCUCUCUUCCUAGCCCUGCUGUCUCUCACUUUCCUCUGGUGUUCACGUCUGCAGCUAGGCUUCCGCGUCUCCAAGACUCCCUGGGUCCCUGGACUAGAGCAAGGCAGGUGAGAGGGAGGCUAGCUUCUCACCUGUUAUGAUUUUCCUCUGUCGAUAAUUGAGAUGGACUCUGAUGGGGAGGAAAGUGUAAAAAAGGGUCUUGGACUCUUCCUGUUUCCAGCUUUCCUUUGUGUCUGCGUUAAUCAACUGCCCGAUGCUUUAGUCACAGCUUGCUGCAGUCCAGAGAAAUACUUGGGAUUUAGAAAUCAAACAAAAGGAGAAUCACCCAGAAAUCAGAUUUAAAUCUGCAGUGACUAAAGUUGCUUUGUUAAGGAAAUAAAAGUGGUAAGAAGCUUUUUCUUCUAAGGCUACUGAACAGUUGUAGCUGGCACAAACAGGUUUGGGGCUGUUUGCAUUGAGUGAUGUGAAACCCACCUUGCAUGUGGAAACAGGCUGUAUUUACUUUGAUUUUAAAGUUCUUGCAAUCGCUCAGAAAAUGGGGCAACAACUCCUUGCUCUGAUUUAGAAGAACUGAUGCUUUCCCUGUUAACUGUCAAGGCUCAAAAUAAUACAAACUUGCUUUUGGUUGGAUCCCAAAUGCCACCCUCACAUCAGGAAAAUGAGAAGACAGAUAUGCCAUGGGAGCCCAGUGUAGGCAAAAAUUACAAUGCGUGUCACACUGUCAUUUUCCAAAGUGACUUUUUAAAAUAGCAAAUAAAUAAAUAAAGCCAGAAAACCCCCACAGAGACAUGUUAAUGCCUCAACCUGGAACAAUAAAGCUCUGUUAAAAACACUUGCCAUUAGCCACCAUCUGCUGUCAGCAGUUGGGGGUAGUCUUUAUGUCCUCUUGACAGCUUUGCCUCAUUCCCCCUUGAUGAAGCAAAAACACUACGGUGGACAAAGCAUUCAGGGGUAAGGAUCCCUCAGUACUGCAGCUUUUCAGAGCUCCGAGCUUGGUGGCCAAGAGUCAAUAGUCUGUUCAGGGUGCUCAGGGGUGCAUAUUGAAUUGGAAAAAAAUUGCUAACUGUAUUUCCUUCCCCACACAUACUGCUCCGUUCCUGUCAGCAUUUUCUGCGCAGAUCAGAGAUAUAAUCUUACUGCAUAUGAAGAAUAUGACUAGAGAAGGGAACGCAAUGCAGGUACAAUUUUACAUUCAACAUGAGACGGAAGUAGGGUGCGUUUCCAAUCGAAGGUUAAUCCAAGGUAGGUCAUGGGUAGAAUUUUAUUGGGAAGGGAAUGGAAAACAUGUGUUUGAAGUAACCUAGAAGACACUCACUGCUUAUUUCAGACGCCUCAUGUCUCAAGUCCAUUCAUGAUCCAGCUCUCUAAACCAUAGACAUAGCCAUCACUCAUCAAGAAUAAAAUCUGAAGCCUAAUUUAUUUUUCUACAGCAGUUCAGUAGAUUGUCUUCCCAGUUUAAAAAAUGUAUAAAUCAGGGCUUCUUUUAAGAACAUCUAUGUGCUAGGGGAAUUUAAUGUUUUCAUUUUGAAUUAAGGUAAAAUCUACAUGCAGAACAGUGCAUAUAAGUGUUUCUUUUGCUGAAUCAUCACAGACUGAACACAUUCACAUAAGCAACACCUAGAUCAGGAAACAGCACAUUACUAGUAUGCCCUCUGGCCCUCUGUCAGUCACUAACAAACCCCCCCCCAGUAAUCACGCUGCUGCUUUCUAACCACAUGCUAGUAUCUCCUGUUUUGUACUUAUAAAUGGAAUGAUGUAGUAUGUACUUUUUGGGGUGUGAUUUCUUUUGCUUAGUCUUGUGUUUGUGGGAAUCAUCCGUAUUGUUGCAUGUAUUUCUAAUUGUUCAUCCACGGUGCAACUAUAUUACAGCUUACUUAACCAAUCGACUCUUGUUGGGUGUUUAGGUAUUUAUCGUAAAGAUUUUUUAUUGUGUUGAAUUGUUUGUAGAAAACAUUGUCUCAAAGGCAAUACAUUCACCUUUAAAAGAGUGGUAUAUUCCACUAAAGGAAAAUACUAGCUCACACUACGGAAUUAUUUUCCAAAAUCUAGUUUGUUUUUCUCUGCAUGUGUGUGUACAUUUUAACUUACUGUCUUCCCAACCAGCAGUUUCCAUUGAGCCUUUCAGAGGCUAGAACCUCAGGCUGCGCUAAGGAGCCUGCUGCAGUCAAAAUGAAUGGCUAGAUGACUGUGACAUUAGUAAACAGGUAAUUCAUUUCCCAUGUCAUUGUUCCUCACCUCAAGCUGGUUAGCCAACUCUUUUCGAAAACCCCAACUUGUUUGACCUACUACAAGUUACAGUCCAUUUCGAGUCAUUCGGUGUAAAAUACAAUCUUGUCAAAGUGAAGACACCUGCUCCCGGCAGGAGGGUUACGCACCAACUGCCAAGUCCUUUGUUACGGUGUCUAGAAACAAAAUGAUCUUUCCAUCUGGAAUGUGUCUACAACUGUGACUGCUGGCCUUGGGUUGACUGCCAACCUCUGGUAGCAGGAUGAGGCAGAGAAACAUGG
Globicephala melas (long-finned pilot whale) is the source of this 2583-nucleotide non-coding RNA. NCBI's taxonomy places the organism in Eukaryota, Metazoa, Chordata, Mammalia, Artiodactyla, Delphinidae. The record is from RefSeq and is a predicted model, not a curated record.